UAGUGUUAAUGCUAUAAGAGUGUAGUAUCAACUCACAAAGUUAUCAGGUUAAAUAGCUUUAUCAACUAAUAAAUUUGCUGAGUAUCGUAGUAAAAGUUAAGAUAUGAUGUUAAGA
RNAcentral lists this unclassified non-coding RNA (115 nucleotides) under Rickettsia conorii subsp. raoultii. Lineage: Bacteria; Pseudomonadati; Pseudomonadota; Alphaproteobacteria; Rickettsiales; Rickettsiaceae. The record is from RNAcentral.